Molecule: ribosomal RNA, 489 nt
Filed under: uncultured bacterium
Lineage: Bacteria
Description: bacterial SSU rRNA
Rfam family: Bacterial small subunit ribosomal RNA
Source: RNAcentral
AAUCAACGCUGGCGGCGUGCCUAACACAUGCAAGUCGAACGCGAAAGUCCCGCAAGGGGCAAGUAGAGUGGCAAACGGGUGAGUAACACGUGGGUGACCUGCCUUCGAGUGGGGGAUAACGUCCCGAAAGGGACGCUAAUACCGCAUAACAUCCUGCCUUUGAAGAGGCGGACAUCAAAGCCGGGGACCGCAAGGCCUGGCGCUUGAAGAGGGGCCCGCGCCUGAUUAGCUAGUUGGGGGGUAAUGGCUCACCAAGGCAUCGAUCAGUAUCCGGCCUGAGAGGGCGGACGGACACACUGGGACUGAGACACGGCCCAGACUCCUACGGGAGGCAGCAGUGGGGAAUAUUGGACAAUGGGCGCAAGCCUGAUCCAGCAAUGCCGCGUGAGUGAGGAAGGCCUUAGGGUUGUAAAGCUCUUUCGCACGCGACGAUGAUGACGGUAGCGUGAGAAGAAGCCCGGCUAACUUCGUGCCAGCCGCCGCAGUAAG